Molecule: unclassified non-coding RNA, 19 nt
Filed under: Dictyostelium discoideum
Lineage: Eukaryota; Evosea; Eumycetozoa; Dictyosteliales; Dictyosteliaceae
Source: RNAcentral
AUUCUUAAUAAAGACAGAG